Molecule: ribosomal RNA, 301 nt
Filed under: uncultured bacterium
Lineage: Bacteria
Description: partial 16S ribosomal RNA
Rfam family: Bacterial small subunit ribosomal RNA
Source: RNAcentral
CAGCAGCCGCGGGAAUACGGAGGGUGCAAGCGUUAAUCGGAAUUACUGGGCGUAAAGCGUGCGUAGGCGGUGAGUUAAGUCUGCUGUGAAAUCCCCGGGCUCAACCUGGGAAUGGCAGUGGAUACUGGCUCGCUAGAGUGUGUCAGAGGAUGGUGGAAUUCCCGGUGUAGCGGUGAAAUGCGUAGAGAUCGGGAGGAACAUCAGUGGCGAAGGCGGCAUCUGGGACAACACUGACGCUGAGGCACGAAAGCGUGGGGAGCAAACAGGAUUAGAUACCCCAGUAGUCCCUGUCUCUUAUACA